CCUACGGGAGGCAGCAGUGGGGAAUAUUGGGCAAUGGGCGCAAGCCUGACCCAGCAACGCCGCGUGAAGGAAGAAGGCUUUCGGGUUGUAAACUUCUUUUCUGAGGGACGAAGAAAGUGACGGUACCUCAGGAAUAAGCCACGGCUAACUACGUGCCAGCAGCCGCGGUUAUACGUAGGUGGCAAGCUGUAUCCGGAUUUAUUGGGUGUAAAGGGCGUGUAGGCGGGAAAGCAAGUCAGCUGUGAAAACUCAGGGCUCAACCCUGAGCCUGCAUUUGAAACUGUUUUUCGUGAGUGCUGGAGAGGCAAUCGGAAUUCCGUGUGUAGCGGUGAAAUGCGUAGAUAUACGGAGGAACACCAGUGGCGAAGGCGGAUUGCUGGACAGUAACUGACGCUGAGGCGCGAAAGCGUGGGGAGCAAACAGGAUUAGAUACCCGAGUAGUC
RNAcentral lists this ribosomal RNA (443 nucleotides) under uncultured bacterium. Its description in RNAcentral is "partial 16S ribosomal RNA". It matches the Rfam family "Bacterial small subunit ribosomal RNA", at positions 338 to 795 of the family's 1533-position model. The record is from RNAcentral.